GACGAACGCUGGCGGCGCGCCUAACACAUGCAAGUCGAACGGAGCUGAGAGAAGCUUGCUUUUCUUAGCUUAGUGGCGAACGGGUGAGUAACGCGUGAGUAACCUGCCCUGGAGUGGGGGACAACAGUUGGAAACGACUGCUAAUACCGCAUAAGCCCACGGAUCCGCAUGGAUCUGCGGGAAAAGGNUUUAUUCGCUUCAGGAUGGACUCGCGUCCAAUUAGCUAGUUGGUGAGGUAACGGCCCACCAAGGCGACGAUUGGUAGCCGGACUGAGAGGUUGAACGGCCACAUUGGGACUGAGACACGGCCCAGACUCCUACGGGAGGCAGCAGUGGGGGAUAUUGCACAAUGGGGGAAACCCUGAUGCAGCGACGCCGCGUGGAGGAAGAAGGUUUUCGGAUUGUAAACUCCUGUCGUUAGGGACGAUAAUGACGGUACCUAACAAGAAAGCACCGGCUAACUACGUG
This 468-nucleotide ribosomal RNA is filed under the name uncultured bacterium. RNAcentral describes it as "bacterial SSU rRNA". It matches the Rfam family "Bacterial small subunit ribosomal RNA", at positions 28 to 507 of the family's 1533-position model. The record is from RNAcentral.